UACGGGGGGGGGCAAGCGUUGUUCGGAAUUACUGGGCGUAAAGCGUGCGCAGGCGGUUUUGUAAGUUUGUCGUGAAAUCCCCGGGCUCAACCUGGGAAUGGCGAUGAAGACUGCAAGGCUAGAAUCUGGCAGAGGGGGGGUAGAAUUCCACGUGUAGCAGUGAAAAUGCGUAGAGAUGUGGAGGAACACCGAUGGCGAAGGCAGCCCCCUGGGUCAAGA
RNAcentral lists this ribosomal RNA (219 nucleotides) under uncultured bacterium. RNAcentral's name for it is "partial 16S ribosomal RNA". It matches the Rfam family "Bacterial small subunit ribosomal RNA", at positions 524 to 739 of the family's 1533-position model. The record is from RNAcentral.